This 253-nucleotide ribosomal RNA is filed under the name uncultured bacterium. RNAcentral's name for it is "partial 16S ribosomal RNA". It matches the Rfam family "Bacterial small subunit ribosomal RNA", at positions 524 to 776 of the family's 1533-position model. The record is from RNAcentral.
UACGGAGGGGGCAAGCGUUAUUCGGAAUCAUUGGGCGUAAAGGGCGCGUAGGCGGCUUCAUAAGUCUUGGGUGAAAGCCCUCGGCUCAACCGAGGAAUUGCCUUGGAUACUGUGAAGCUCGAGGCUGGAAGAGGGCAGUGGAAUUCCCGGUGUAGCGGUGAAAUGCGUAGAUAUCAAGCGGAACACCAGUGGCGAAGGCGAGUCCCUGGACAACUCCUGACACUGAGGCACGAAAGCUAGGGGAGCAAACGGG